AGAGUUUGAUCCUGGCUCAGAACGAACGCUGGCGGCAGGCUUAACACAUGCAAGUCGAACGCCCCGCAAGGGGAGUGGCAGACGGGUGAGUAACACGUGGGAACGUACCCUUUACUACGGAAUAACGCAGGGAAACUUGUGCUAAUACCGUAUGUGCCCUUCGGGGGAAAGAUUUAUCGGUAAAGGAUCGGCCCGCGUUGGAUUAGCUAGUUGGUGGGGUAAAGGCCUACCAAGGCGACGAUCCAUAGCUGGUCUGAGAGGAUGAUCAGCCACAUUGGGACUGAGACACGGCCCAAACUCCUACGGGAGGCAGCAGUGGGGAAUAUUGGACAAUGGGCGCAAGCCUGAUCCAGCCAUGCCGCGUGAGUGAUGAAGGCCUUAGGGUUGUAAAGCUCUUUCACCGGAGAAGAUAAUGACGGUAUCCGGAGAAGAAGCCCCGGCUAACUUCGUGCCAGCCGCCGCGGUAAUAC
This 470-nucleotide ribosomal RNA is filed under the name uncultured bacterium. RNAcentral's name for it is "bacterial SSU rRNA". It matches the Rfam family "Bacterial small subunit ribosomal RNA", at positions 8 to 526 of the family's 1533-position model. The record is from RNAcentral.